AUCGGAAUCUACCUUUUCGUGGGGGAUAACGUAGGGAAACUUACGCUAAUACCGCAUACGACCUUAGGGUGAAAGCGGAGGACCUUCGGGCUUCGCGCGGAUAGAUGAGCCGAUGUCGGAUUAGCUAGUUGGCGGGGUAAAGGCCCACCAAGGCGACGAUCCGUAGCUGGUCUGAGAGGAUGAUCAGCCACACUGGAACUGAGACACGGUCCAGACUCCUACGGGAGGCAGCAGUGGGGAAUAUUGGACAAUGGGCGCAAGCCUGAUCCAGCCAUGCCGCGUGGGUGAAGAAGGCCUUCGGGUUGUAAAGCCCUUUUGUUGGGAAAGAAAAGCAGUCGGUUAAUACCCGAUUGUUCUGACGGUACCCAAAGAAUAAGCACCGGCUAACUUCGUGCCAGCAGCCGCGGUAAUACGAAGGGUGCAAGCGUUACUCGGAAUUACUGGGCGUAAAGCGUGCGUAGGUGGUUGUUUAAGUCCGUUGUGAAAGCCCUGGGCUCAACCUGGGAAUUGCAGUGGAUACUGGGCAACUAGAGUGUGGUAGAGGAUGGCGGAAUUCCCGGUGUAGCAGUGAAAUGCGUAGAGAUCGGGAGGAACAUCUGUGGCGAAGGCGGCCAUCUGGACCAACACUGACACUGAGGCA
Molecule: ribosomal RNA, 640 nt
Filed under: Xanthomonas sp.
Lineage: Bacteria; Pseudomonadati; Pseudomonadota; Gammaproteobacteria; Lysobacterales; Lysobacteraceae
Description: bacterial SSU rRNA
Rfam family: Bacterial small subunit ribosomal RNA
Source: RNAcentral